UACGGGGGGGGCAAGCGUUGUUCGGAAUUACUGGGCGUAAAGGGCGCGUAGGCGGUUUGCUAAGUUGGAUGUGAAAACUCUGGGCUUAACCCAGAGCCUGCAUCCAAAACUGGCAGGCUAGAGUUUUGGAGGGGGAAGCGGAAUUCCUGGUGUAGCAGUGAAAUGCGUAGAUAUCAGGAGGAACACCGGUGGCGAAGGCGGCAUCCUGGACCAACACUGACACUGAGGAGCGAAAGCCAGGGGAGCAAACGGG
Molecule: ribosomal RNA, 253 nt
Filed under: uncultured bacterium
Lineage: Bacteria
Description: partial 16S ribosomal RNA
Rfam family: Bacterial small subunit ribosomal RNA
Source: RNAcentral